GAUCCUGGCUCAGGAUGAACGCUAGCUACAGGCUUAACACAUGCAAGUCGAGGGGAAACGAUAUUGGAAGCUUGCUUCCGAUAGGCGUCGACCGGCGCACGGGUGAGUAACGCGUAUCCAACCUGCCCAUCACUUGGGGAUAACCUUGCGAAAGUAAGGCUAAUACCCAAUGAUAUCUCUAGAAGACAUCUGAAGGAGAUUAAAGAUUUAUCGGUGAUGGAUGGGGAUGCGU
This 232-nucleotide ribosomal RNA is filed under the name uncultured bacterium. Its description in RNAcentral is "partial 16S ribosomal RNA". It matches the Rfam family "Bacterial small subunit ribosomal RNA", at positions 15 to 236 of the family's 1533-position model. The record is from RNAcentral.